This is an RNA transcript of Myotis lucifugus (little brown bat), 3736 nucleotides long. It is a transcript of the gene named POU class 6 homeobox 1, with no coding region annotated. NCBI's taxonomy places the organism in Eukaryota, Metazoa, Chordata, Mammalia, Chiroptera, Vespertilionidae. The transcript is spliced from 12 exons. The record is from RefSeq and is a predicted model, not a curated record.
AAAAACACAAAAAAGUAAAACAAACAAAUGAUGCAGAGAUGAAAGAGGAGGGUGAAGGGAAAGGGCGUGCUAGGUGUUGGCUGGUCCCCACCCCACCCUGACAAGUGACCAUGGACCCAGGAGUUGGCCCAGAGUCAUCUCUCACCGUCAAUGAGCAGGUCAUCGUGAUGUCAGGCCAUGAGACCAUCCGCGUGCUGGAAGUUGGAGUGGAUGCCCAGGUCCCUGCUGAGGAGGAGGGCAAAGGACUGGAGGGUGUGGCCGCCGAGGGCUGCCAGAGUGGAGGUCCUGCUGAAGCCAGUGAACCUGCUGGUGAAGCUGGGCCAGACAACCCAGACUCUUCUGCGGAGGCAACUGUGAAGUCACUCCCGGGGAUCCCUGCGAGUCCUGCCCCGGCUGUCGCCACUUUCAGCCAACCCCCAAGCCAGCCUCAGGCAUCGCAGACCCUGACGCCGCUGGCUAUACAAGCUGCCCCCCAGGUCUUGACUCAGGAAAACUUAGCCACAGUUCUGACAGGAGUUAUGGUUCCAGCAGGGGCAGUUACUCAACCUCUUCUUAUCCCCAUCAGUAUUGCAGGUCAAGUGGCUGGUCAGCAGGGGCUGGCCGUGUGGACAAUUCCUACAGCAACCGUGGCCGCCCUCCCAGGACUGACCGCUGCUUCUCCUACGGGGGGAAUUUUCAAGCCACCUUUAGCCAGUCUCCAAGCAGCGGCCGUGCUGAACACCGCUCUGCCGGCACCCGUACAAGCUGCCCCACCGGUACAGGCCUCCUCGCCCGUCCAGCCCCGGCCACCAGCACAGGCCCAGACGCUGUUCCAGACCCCGCCACCGCCGCUGCUGCAGAACACGCCCGCCAUUCUACCGCAGCCCACUGCUGCCACCGCUACCGCCCCCGCCCCCAAGCCAGUGGACACCCCCCCACAGAUCACCCUACAGCCUGCCAGCUUCGCAUUUAGCCCAGGAAUCAUCAGUGCUGCUUCCCUCGGGGGACAGACCCAGAUCCUGGGCUCCCUCACGACAACUCCGGUCAUUGCCAACGCCAUUCCCAGCAUGCCAGGGAUCAGCAGUCAGAUCCUCACCAAUGCUCAGGGACAGGUUAUUGGAACGCUUCCGUGGGUAGUGAACUCAGCUAGCGUGGCAGCACCAGCACCAGCCCAAAGCCUGCAGGUCCAGGCUGUGACCCCCCAGCUGCUGUUAAACGCCCAGGGCCAGGUGAUUGCAACCCUGGCCAGCAACCCCCUGCCUCCACCUGUGGCUGUCCGGAAGCCAAGCACGCCCGAGUCCCCUGCUAAGAGUGAGGUGCAGCCCAUCCAGCCUACGCCAGCCGUGCCCCCGCCUACAGUGGUCAUCGCCAGCCCAGGCCCAGCGGCCAAACCAUCGGCCUCUGCUCCCAUCCCAAUUACCUGCUCAGAGACGCCCACUGUCAGCCAGUUGGUGUCCAAGCCACAUAACCCAAGUCUGGAUGAGGAUGGGAUCAACUUAGAAGAGAUCCGGGAGUUUGCCAAGAACUUUAAGAUCCGGCGGCUGUCUCUGGGCCUCACACAGACCCAGGUGGGCCAGGCUCUGACUGCGACGGAAGGCCCGGCCUACAGCCAGUCUGCCAUCUGCCGGUUCGAGAAGCUGGACAUCACCCCGAAGAGCGCCCAGAAGCUGAAGCCGGUGCUGGAGAAGUGGCUGAAUGAAGCCGAACUCCGGAACCAGGAAGGCCAGCAGAACCUGAUGGAGUUUGUGGGAGGGGAGCCCUCCAAGAAACGCAAACGCCGCACCUCCUUCACCCCCCAGGCCAUCGUGGCUCUCAACGCCUACUUCGAGAAGAACCCACUGCCCACUGGCCAGGAGAUCACCGAGAUUGCCAAGGAGCUCAAUUACGACCGGGAGGUCGUGCGGGUCUGGUUCUGCAAUCGGCGCCAGACGCUCAAGAACACCAGCAAGCUGAACGUCUUUCAGAUCCCUUAGGGCUCGGCCCCCGGCCCUGCGUUCCAGCACUUUGUACUUGUCCCUUGGCACCUGGCUGCAGCCACGGCUGUGACAGCACCGUCAUUCUGACAGGUCUUCUCAGAAGGCAAACGAAACAAUAAACCAGACUGCAAGGCCUGGGGGAGAGGCCAGCACCCAGCCCAGAGAAGUCUCUUGUGGAAGGUGACUUAACUCUAAUUUUCUCUGUAGCUUUAAGCCUUGGGUACUGGAUGAGAAACCUUAUUUUGUCCCGAGUCUUAGACCCUGUGUUUGUGUAAGAAAUCUCCCCAGUACUCCGCUGAACCAAGAAUAUCCCUGGGACAGGAGGGGUUUUGCCUCUAGAGAGGGUAACUAUGGCACAUUGGGGGUUGGCACCUCAUCCGAGCUCCUGGGUUUCCCAGCCUCACUGUGGCUGGACAACCCCUGGAACUCAGCCUGUGACUCCAGGAAGUCAAGAGAGCACCAAGAGGUUGGCGUAGAUGAGCCCAGCCUUGCUGUAUAGAGCAUCCCUAAAGGGCCACAAGCCACGGGGUCAGCCACCCCCUCUCUUCACUACUCUUGUCCUUACAAAGCCGGGUCUCUAGCAGCUGCCUUCCCCUGCGCCUCGCAUGGUACCCCUGAGGAAGUGACUGCCGGCGAGAACACAUCUCCAGCUCUGCUGGUCACUGGCAGCCACCUCCUAGCCUGGCCUUCACCCGCAUGCUGUUUCCUUUCCUGCCUGCAGCUGGUCCCUCCCAGGCCCUGCAGUGCCAGCGGGGCCACCCUCUUGGUAGCCCUGCCAGGGGGAAGACAGUUGUGUGUCAAAUUGCCACACGUACACACACACUCCCGCCCCGCUGCAUUGGGACCAACAGGCCUGCCAGAGUGAGGAAGCUGGUGGGCAUCCUGCCCGCCCCAGUUUCCCAAGAAAAAAUGUCUCCAAGGGGAGGCUCCACACUCAAGGUCAAGGUUAUCAACCUGUCUCGGUGAGAAGAAGGGAGGAGGAUUGUAAACACGUUUUCAGUACUAGUUAAAGUACUGGAGUUUAAGGAUUCAGCGAUUUACACGUCAAUAAAUUAGAGCGGCAGUUUUCAACCCUUUUCAUCUCAUGGCACACAUAAAGGGAUCACUAUAAUUCUGCAGCACACCCAAAAAUAUAUUUUUUGCCAAUCUGACAAAAAAGUAGGUAUACUUUUGAUUCGGUCACACCGAUGGCUAUUGUUCUGUGUUGCCUGUUGACGUUUUUAAAUUUGACAAUCUAAGGGAAAGGAGGUCAGUGCCCCUGACCAAAUAGUCAAGUAGUGCAUGUUUAAAAAAUGUCUGUGGCCCACCGGUUGAAACUCUCUGAAUGAGAGAGAGACAGGUUUUCACCCUCAAACACUUGCGUUCAGAUAUGCUUCCUUCCAGGUGGGUCAUGGUGGAAACCCUGGGAGUCGCAUAUAAUCCAGGCUGUGCCCAGGGCAGUGGCUCUGCAGGACGCCAUCUGUCUGGUGUGAGGGCAGGAAAAGGAUCACGAACUGCUGCUGGUCUAAAUUAGGCCGGGCCUUGCUUUCUCAGCUCCUCUCUCGUCUAAAUCCGUCUUCCAGAGGCUGAGGUAGAGCUAAAUCGUUUUCUCCUCUACAAGAAGAACGGGUAGGUCUUUCUGAAGAACAAUACCAGGGUCGGAAUAUUUGCAAGCUGAAUUCCCCAGGCAGGAGGGCGUGGGGUGUCCCUGAAAUAUGCCCAAAGCAGAGCUUACUGGCCUGCAAUCUCUCUCCUGCUUCCCACUGUAGGCCGCCACCACCACCGCCGCCACCACCGCCACC